UCCGGUUCGAAACCGGACCGUGGCUACCCCUACCUAUAUCUAGCUAAGUGGAGUACCAUGUCUCCAUACCUGUGACUUGGUAAUGCUUUUCAGGUAACUAUGUGUUGUAUUUAUAAUUACUUCCUAAUCCCAUUGGGUUCCCAUGAGUUUAGUUCAAAUAAAAGUUCUUAUUUGCAAAGUCUAAUUUGUCUAAAAUAUUUAUUCCCAUUAAUGGAUUUAGGGACUAUUUUUUGCUUUUCUGGUCCUAAUGCUUAAGUUCUCAGUAUCUGAAUUUCUAUUGAUUUUCAGG
RNAcentral lists this unclassified non-coding RNA (289 nucleotides) under Hevea brasiliensis (rubber tree). Lineage: Eukaryota; Viridiplantae; Streptophyta; Magnoliopsida; Malpighiales; Euphorbiaceae. The record is from RNAcentral.